UAGGGAAUCUUCGGCAAUGGGGGGAACCCUGACCGAGCAACGCCGCGUGAGUGAAGAAGGUUUUCGGCUCGUAAAGCUCUGUUGUUAAGGAAGAACGAGUGUGAGAAUGGAAAGUUCAUACUGUGACGGUACUUAACCAGAAAGGGCCGGCUAACUACGUGCCAGCAGCCGCGGUACUACGUAGGUCCCGCGCGUUGUCCGGAUUUAUUGGGCGUAAAGCGAGCGCAGGCGGUUUUUUAAGUCUGAUGUGAAAGCCCACGGCUCAACCGUGGAGGGUCAUUGGAAGCUGGAAAGCUUGAGUGCAGAAGAGGAAAGUGGAAUUCCAUGUGUAGCGGUGAAAUGCGCAGAAAUAUGGAGGAACACCAGUGGCGAAGGCGACUUUCUGGUCUGUAAAUGACGCUGAUGUGCGAAAGCGUGGGGAUCAAACAGG
RNAcentral lists this ribosomal RNA (430 nucleotides) under Bacteroidota bacterium. Its description in RNAcentral is "Bacteroidetes bacterium partial 16S ribosomal RNA". It matches the Rfam family "Bacterial small subunit ribosomal RNA", at positions 355 to 776 of the family's 1533-position model. The record is from RNAcentral. Lineage: Bacteria; Pseudomonadati; Bacteroidota.